AGAGUUUGAUCAUGGCUCAGAAUCAACGCUGGCGGCGUGCCUAACACAUGCAAGUCGAGCGAGAAAAGGGGGGCAACUCCCUGAGUAAAGCGGCGCACGGGUGAGUAACACGUGGGUAAUCUGCCUCAGAGUGGGGAAUAACACCGGGAAACCGGUGCUAAUACCGCAUACGAUCACGAUGUCUGUGAUGUUGUGAUGAAAGGCGCAAGUCGCUCUGAGAGGAGCCCGCGGCUGAUUAGCUAGUUGGUGAGGUAAUGGCUCACCAAGGCUGCGAUCAGUAUCCGGUCUGAGAGGACGGUCGGACACACUGGAACUGAGACACGGUCCAGACUCCUACGGGAGGCAGCAGUGGGGAAUUUUUGGCAAUGGGGGCAACCCUGACCAAGCAACGCCGCGUGGGUGAUGAAGUCUCUUGGGACGUAAAACCCUUUCGACAGGGACGAAAGCCGCAAGGUUUGACGGUACCUGUAGAAGAAGCCCCGGCUAACUCCGUGCCAGCAGCCGCGGUAAUACGGGGGGGGCAAGCGUUGUUCGGAAUUACUGGGCGUAAAGGGCGCGUAGGCGGUCUGCUAAGUUGGAUGUGAAAACUCUGGGCUUAACCCAGAGCCUGCAUCCAAAACUAGCAGGCUGGAGUUCUGGAGGGGAUAGCGGAAUUCCUGGUGUAGCGGUGAAAUGCGUAGAUAUCAGGAGGAACACCGGUGGCGAAGGCGGCUAUCUGGACAGAAACUGACGCUGAGGCGCGAAAGCUAGGGGAGCAAACAGGAUUAGAUACCCCUGUAGUCC
Molecule: ribosomal RNA, 783 nt
Filed under: uncultured bacterium
Lineage: Bacteria
Description: bacterial SSU rRNA
Rfam family: Bacterial small subunit ribosomal RNA
Source: RNAcentral